UGUUUCCUUCAGGGUUGGAAAAAGCA
Molecule: non-coding RNA, 26 nt
Filed under: Rattus norvegicus (Norway rat)
Lineage: Eukaryota; Metazoa; Chordata; Mammalia; Rodentia; Muridae
Source: RNAcentral